Bombus terrestris (buff-tailed bumblebee) is the source of this 2129-nucleotide long non-coding RNA. RefSeq lists it as uncharacterized. NCBI's taxonomy places the organism in Eukaryota, Metazoa, Arthropoda, Insecta, Hymenoptera, Apidae. The record is from RefSeq and is a predicted model, not a curated record. The transcript is spliced from 3 exons.
AAGAGAAACAAUCCGCAUGAACAUAGACGAGCCGAUAUAUGCUUGCUUAGAGGCACACAAGGAAACGCAUUCGGCAUGCAACAGUAAAAUCGUGAAACUAAAACAGCAUUCGCUCUCGUUGCAAUGAAACAGCGUUCGAUACAUAGACACAUAGACAGAGAAGGCAUCAGCAAUUUUCAGAACUAGAGUUUAGAUCAUUUGAAGCGAAAUAUUCGUAAUACGAUUUUUGUUGGAAAUGACAACUUGAGUUCGUGCUCGCCAUCUAUAUGCAGAUGCGCUAGUUACAAUAAAUAGUAACUAGAAGAUAGUUCUAGAUACAAUCGAUAGAUUUAAUCGAUAGGUUUAAGAUGUCCUUUUGUUUUUAUCCCUAGUCCAUGUAAGAAAGUACAAUAAAGGUUUUCCGGUUCAGAACGGUGUGAUAGAUUUAUCCAAAGAAUACAAUAAUAGCUAUUAUGAUCCUGCCUCUAAAUACAGAAAUAACAGCAAUUUAUAAUAACAAGAAUAUAAUCUUAUAUAGAAAAUGUAAAAUCUUCGGGUUAUCCAUUUAAUUGAAACGUUGAACACUGGUAAACAACUUUCUACCAUAGUGUUAGUGAAAUUAAACGAUUACAGAUACACGAAAUAUUGUUUAUAAGUGUAUUACAAUACACAUAAUUUGAUUUUAAUGCUAUGAUAAUAAGAGCUUUAAACAAAUAAAAAAUCAUGAAAAUCUUGUAUUCUCUUUGAUGAUAUGAAUCACUUCUGGUUCUGAACAUUGCUAGGAUCACAAAAAAAAAAAAAAAAAAAGAAAAUAGAAGUGAAGCACCAUCGACACAAUAUAUACACAUAUAUAUAUUUAAGGCGCACUGGAAGAACUAGAACAACAGACAGACUCAACCACUCACGAGACAUAUUUAUAUACUAAAUCGUCACUGCCUGUUACGGCAUCAAUCAAAUAUCAAUCAAGACUCCAUUUUACCUGAGUUCAGAAUGGAGCCUUGCGUGGGCCGAAAUAGUUGUAGAAGUAGUAGACGUAGUGUUAUAAACAGAGGAACAGAGAUAUAAGUUGCAUAUUAUUGAUAUAAUCGCUUGGACUCGUUCGUAUUAAUUUUACUACAAAAUUCUGCUGAUUAUCAAUAAAGCUCGUUAAUUAACGUUAUCAAAGAGGCUCUGUAACAAGUGGUGGAGCUUUUUUUGUAAAUAUCGCUGCUAACAAACGCUAAGGCGGAUCUGAAGAAAAAAACAAUAGAAGCAAAUUUGAUUUUCAGUGGACACGAUAUAAGGAAACGCUAACGAUGGAUGACAUGAAAUCUCAAUAAUAAAAACGAACGAAAAAGGAAACGGAUGAAAUGAACAUCUUCCAUUAUUCAGAAACAACAUAUCUAAUACCAAAGGAGGACAUAACAGUGGAAUUUUAAGACAAUCAAAAACAAGGGCAAAUCUUAGAGUGACUAUCAUGGCAAGAAAUGAAUGAAUAGACUUUUUUCGUCGAAUAUAAUUCAAGAAAGCAAAAAAUCAAGGCAACGAGAAGUGAUCGUAAAACGUAUGUCAAUAUAUUAUUCUAAGACUAAGGUCCUCAAAACACAGUGCUAUUCAAAUUUAUCAAAGCGUUUAAAUAUUAUUAAUAAUUCAAAUUGUGAUUUAAGCAAACUAAGAUGUUGCAUUCAAUCAAAUGAUGGAUUUGCAUAAGAUUAUAAGUCAUAAAGAUAUCCAAACAAAAUUAGAAGAAAGAAAAAGGAAAAGAAAAAAGAGAGAGAGAAAAGAAACUAAAACGUCGAAAAUUAAAAUUCAUUGGAACUUUUAAUGUAAAGUAGCAAUCCAUUUAGCGUAAAAUUCUGCGCUCAGGUAGCAAGCUCUGUCGUCGAUCAUAGAGCAGCGUUAAUAACGAAACAAAAUAAUAUUCGUUUGCUAAAUUAGCUACGCCUUCAUCAACAUCAUGGCAAAAACGCUUGCGUAGCAAAAGAACUCUCUUGCAAGAAAUCUUGGGAAUUACCUCUUUGUUGGCGUGCUUAUGGUAACACCGUUGGAGAUAUUGUUAAAAGUUAUUAUGAACAAUAGUAACAUGUUAAUUCUAUUGCCAUUACACAAUCGUAGAAUUAAGUGAUAUAUGCAAUCGAUCGAAUUAAUAAAAUGGAUUACUACAAAAUGAA